UGUGGGCAGGGAGAAACGUGGGCAAGGCACCUGAGCGUUUCUGCUCCAGGUUAGCAGCAGAGAAUUGGUCAUUCCGUGAGAAGUGUGCGUUAAUGAGCAACAGACCACACACACACACAUACCCACGCACCUAAACCUGUAUGCAAUACCUGCUCCUCUGACAGUCCUUGGUACCUUCAACUGAGUGAAGUCAAUACAAGAGUCUGCACUAUCCUCGGUGUCUUCAUUGUCUCCCUUCUGAACAUUCAUCCGGGCCUUGAGCAGUGUUCUGGCCGACACUCCGGGGAGUGGUAGCUGCAAAUCUGAGCUAGCCCCUUACAGUCCUCCCAGUCCAAGCUAUCUACCCAACAAUAACACUCAGAUCCUCCCAGCAGAGAUGUGAGCAGAGGAGGAGACAUGCGGCUCUUCUGAUUCCUUCUUUUUCAAUCCCUCCAUUUAAAAGCACAAGUUCACACUGCAGUAGUUGUGCGUCUUAAAUAUCUGCACAUCCUCUACAGAGAAAACAACUGUGAGUAAGAGGGACAGCUCCAUUUAAAAUGUAUUUAUACUUCAGUUUGGUGUGAUAUAUAUUGGGACAUUUAUAUAUAAGAGCUAUUUUGUGAUAUUUUGUAUUACUGAAUAUGACACUUUACCUUGUUUGUUACUGUUCUUAUUUA
Oreochromis niloticus (Nile tilapia) is the source of this 656-nucleotide long non-coding RNA. RefSeq lists it as uncharacterized. NCBI's taxonomy places the organism in Eukaryota, Metazoa, Chordata, Actinopteri, Cichliformes, Cichlidae. The record is from RefSeq and is a predicted model, not a curated record. The transcript has 3 exons.